GUCCCUUGGGGACAUCCAAUAAAAUUAGAAAGAUAUAGAGAAGAUUAGUAUGGCCCAUGUGCAAGGAUGACACGCACAAAUCCAGAAGAUUUAGAAUUUGUU
Non-coding RNA from Glycine soja, 102 nucleotides. Lineage: Eukaryota; Viridiplantae; Streptophyta; Magnoliopsida; Fabales; Fabaceae. The record is from Rfam.